Molecule: ribosomal RNA, 491 nt
Filed under: uncultured bacterium
Lineage: Bacteria
Description: partial 16S ribosomal RNA
Rfam family: Bacterial small subunit ribosomal RNA
Source: RNAcentral
GAUGAACGCUGGCUACAGGCUUAACACAUGCAAGUCGAGGGGAAACGACGGGGAAGCUUGCUUCCCCGGGCGUCGACCGGCGCACGGGUGAGUAACGCGUAUCCAACCUGCCUCUGACUGAGGGAUAACCCGUCGAAAGUCGGCCUAAUACCUCAUGGUAUCGUCUGCGGGCAUCCAACGACGAUUAAAGAUUUCAUCGGUCAGGGAUGGGGAUGCGUCUGAUUAGCUUGUUGGCGGGGUAACGGCCCACCAAGGCUACGAUCAGUAGGGGUUCUGAGAGGAAGGUCCCCCACAUUGGAACUGAGACACGGUCCAAACUCCUACAGGAGGCAGCAGUGAGGAAUAUUGGUCAAUGGGCGAGAGCCUGAACCAGCCAAGUAGCGUGCAGGAAGACGGCCCUAUGGGUUGUAAACUGCUUUUAUGCGGGGAUAAAGUGAGGGACGUGUCCCUCAUUGCAGGUACCGCAUGAAUAAGGACCGGCUAAUUCCGUG